AGAGUUUUUUUUUGGCUCAGGAUGAACGCUGGCGGCGUGCUUAACACAUGCAAGUCGAACGGGGAUGCCAUUUUUGAAGCGAUUAGCUGGCUGAGAGUGGAAAUGUUGGCAUCUUAGUGGCGGACGGGUGAGUAACGCGUGGGGAACCUGCCCUGUACAGGGGGAUAACACUGAGAAAUAGGUGCUCAUACCGCAUAAGCGCACAGUAGCGCAUGAUACAGUGUGAAAAACUCCGGCGGCACAGGAUGGACCCGCGUUCUGAUUAGCUGGUUGGCGGGGUAACGGCCCACCAAGGCAACUAUCUGUAGCCGGCCUGAGAGGGCGGACGGCCACAUUGGGACAGAGACACUGCCCACACUCCUACGGGAGGCCACCAGUAGGGAUUCUUCCACAAUGGACGAGAGUGUAAUGGGGUAACGCUGGGUGAGUGAAGAAGGGUUUCGGCUCGUAAAGCUCUGUUGGUGGUGAAGAAAGAUAGAGGUAGUACUGAGCCUUUAUUUGACGGUAAUUACUUAGAAAGUCACGGCUAACUACGUGCCAGCAGCCGCGGUAAUACGUAGGUGGCAAGCGUUGUCCGGAUUUAUUGGACGUAAAGCGAGUGCAGGCGGUUCAAUAAGUCUGAUGUGAAAGCCUUCGGCUCAACCGGAGAAUUGCAUCAGAAACUGUUGAACUUGAGUGCAGAAGAGGAGAGUGGAACUCCAUGUGUAGCGGUGGAAUGCGUAGAUAUUAGGAGGAACACCAGUGGCGAAGGCGGCUUACUGGACUGUAACUGACGUUGAGGCUCGAAAGCGUGGGGAGCAAACAGAAUUAGAUACCCUGGUAGUCCACGCCGUAAACGAU
This 840-nucleotide ribosomal RNA is filed under the name uncultured bacterium. Its description in RNAcentral is "bacterial SSU rRNA". It matches the Rfam family "Bacterial small subunit ribosomal RNA", at positions 8 to 810 of the family's 1533-position model. The record is from RNAcentral.